RNAcentral lists this ribosomal RNA (460 nucleotides) under uncultured bacterium. Its description in RNAcentral is "partial 16S ribosomal RNA". It matches the Rfam family "Bacterial small subunit ribosomal RNA", at positions 338 to 795 of the family's 1533-position model. The record is from RNAcentral.
CCUACGGGUGGCAGCAGUGAGGAAUAUUGGUCAAUGGUCGGGAGACUGAACCAGCCAAGCCGCGUGAGGGAGGAAGGUACAGAGUAUCGUAAACCUCUUUUGUCAGGGAACAAAGACUGGGACGCGUCCCCGGAUGAGUGUACCUGAAGAAAAAGCAUCGGCUAACUCCGUGCCAGCAGCCGCGGUAAUACGGAGGAUGCGAGCGUUAUCCGGAUUUACUGGGUGUAAAGGGAGCGUAGACGGCUGUGCAAGUCUGAUGUGAAAGCCCAGGGCUCAACCCUGGGACUGCUUUGGAUACGGGGGGUCGAGAGUGCUGGAGAGGUAAGUGGAAUUCGUGGUGUAGCGGUGAAAGGCGUAGAUAUUAGGAGGAACACCAGUGGCGAAGGCGGCUUACUGGACAGUAACUGACGUUGAGGCUCGAAAGCGUGGGGAGCAAACAGGAUUAGAUACCCUUGUAGUC